This 253-nucleotide ribosomal RNA is filed under the name uncultured bacterium. RNAcentral's name for it is "partial 16S ribosomal RNA". It matches the Rfam family "Bacterial small subunit ribosomal RNA", at positions 524 to 776 of the family's 1533-position model. The record is from RNAcentral.
UACAGAGGUCCCAAGCGUUGUUCGGAUUCAUUGGGCGUAAAGGGUGCGUAGGCGGCGCGGUAAGUCGGGUGUGAAAUCUCGGGGCUUAACUCCGAAACUGCAUUCGAUACUGCCGUGCUUGAGGACUGGAGAGGAGACUGGAAUUUACGGUGUAGCGGUGAAAUGCGUAGAUAUGUGGAGGAACACCGAUGGCGAAGGCAGCCCCCUGGGCUAACACUGACGCUCAUGCACGAAAGCGUGGGGAGCAAACAGG